This is a long non-coding RNA of Dreissena polymorpha, 1270 nucleotides long. RefSeq lists it as uncharacterized. The transcript is spliced from 3 exons. Lineage: Eukaryota; Metazoa; Mollusca; Bivalvia; Myida; Dreissenidae. The record is from RefSeq and is a predicted model, not a curated record.
CAAAAAUGUUAAAGUUCUUAUUUCAUGGUAUAACUUUGGUAUGCUUGGACCUAGAGUCUUCAAACUUGACAUGAAGGUUGGCCAGGAUUAACAGAUGACCACUGGUCAUUUCAAGGUCAUUCAUUUGAAGGUCAAGGUCACUGUGACCUUCAAUAUAAAAAAUGUUAAAGUUGUUAUAACUUUGGUAUGCUUGGACCUAGAGUCUUGAAACUUGACAUGAAGGUUGGCCAUAACUAGUUAGUAACCACUGGUCAUUUCAAGGUCAUUCAUUUGAAGGUCAAGGUCACUGUGACCUUGAAUGUAAAAAUGUUAAAGUUGUUAUAACUUUGGUAUGCUUGGACCUAGAGUCUUGAAACUUGACAUGAAGGUUGGCCAGAACUAGUAAGUAACCACUGGACAUUUCAAGGUCAUUCAUUUGAAGGUCAAGGUCACUGUGACCUUGAAUGUAAAAAUGUUAAAGUUCUUAUUUCAUGUUAUAACUUGGGUAUGCUUGUACCUAGAGUCUUCAAACUUGAAAUAAAGAUUGGCCAGUACUAGAAGAUGACCACUGGUCAUUUCAAUGUCAUUCAUUUGAAGGUCAAGGUCACUGUGACCUUCAAUGUUAAAAUGUUAAAAUUGUUAUAACUUUGGUAUGCUUGGACCUAGAAUCUCAAACUUGACGUAAAGGUUUGCAAGCACACUUAGAUGACCACUGGUCAUUUCAAGGUCAUUCAUUUCAAUGUCAUUCAUUUGAAGGUCAAGGUCACUGUGAACUUAAAUGUUAAAAUGUUAAAAUUGUUGUAACUUUGGUAUGCUUGGACCUAGAAUCUCAAACUUGACGUAAAGGUUUGCAAGCACACUUAGAUGACCACUGGUCAUUUCAAGGUCAUUCAUUUGAAGGUCGAGGUCACUGUGACCUUGGAUGUAAAUAUGUUAAAGUUGUUAAUACUUUGGUAUGCUUAGACCUAGAGUCUUCAAACUUGAUAUGAAGGUUGGCCAGAACUAGUAGAUGACCACUAGUCAUUUUAAGGUCAAGGUCACCGUGACCUUGAAUGUAAAAAUGUUAAAAUUCUUAUUUCAUGGUAUAACUUUCUUAUGCUUGGACUUACAGUCUUCAAACUGGACAUGAAGGUUGGCCAGCACUAGUAGAUGACAAUUGGUCAUUUUAAGGUCAUUGAAGGUCAAGGUCACUGUGACCUUGAAUGUUAAAAAUUAAAAGUUGUUUUAACUUUCGUAUGCUUGGACAUGGACUUUGCCAUGACUAACAGAUGACCACUGGUCAAGAGAACAA